Molecule: ribosomal RNA, 1001 nt
Filed under: Clostridioides difficile
Lineage: Bacteria; Bacillati; Bacillota; Clostridia; Peptostreptococcales; Peptostreptococcaceae
Description: partial 23S ribosomal RNA
Rfam family: Bacterial large subunit ribosomal RNA
Source: RNAcentral
CCUGUGGGAAGCAGGAGGGACCACCCUCCAAGGCUAAAUACUACCUAGUGACCGAUAGCGUAUAGUACCGUGAGGGAAAGGUGAAAAGAACCCCGGGAGGGGAGUGAAAUAGAACCUGAAACCCUGCACUUACAAGCUGUGGAAGCACAUUUCUUGUGUGACCGCGUACUUUUUGUAGAACGGGCCAACGAGUUACGUUAAGUAGCAAGGUUAAGCACUUAAGGUGUGGAGCCGUAGCGAAAGCGAGUUUUAACUGAGCGUUCAGUUACUUGACGUAGACCCGAAACCGGGCGACCUACCCAUGAGCAGGAUGAAGCGAAAGUAAAAUUUCGUGGAGGUCCGAACCCACGAGCGUUGAAAAGCUCGGGGAUGACUUGUGGGUAGCGGUGAAAUUCCAAUCGAGCCCGGAGAUAGCUGGUUCUCCCCGAAAUAGCUUUAGGGCUAGCCUCAAGGUGAGAGAUACGGAGGUAGAGCACUGAAUGUCCUAGGGGGUAUUGCACCUACCGAAGACUAUCAAACUCCGAAUGCCGUCAUCUUAUACUUGGGAGUCAGACUGUGGGUGAUAAGAUUCAUAGUCGAAAGGGCAACAGCCCAGAUCGUCAGCUAAGGUCCCUAAAUGUAAGUUAAGUGGUAAAGGAUGUGGGAUUGCACAGACAACCAGGAUGUUGGCUUAGAAGCAGCCACUCAUUCAAAGAGUGCGUAAUAGCUCACUGGUCGAGUGAUCCUGCGCCGAAGAUUUCCGGGGCUAAAACUUACUACCGAAGCUACGGCAUCAGUAAUGAUGGGUAGGGGAGCUUCCCAUACGGGUUGAAGCAUGACCGUAAGGACAUGUGGACAGUAUGGGAGUGAGAAUGUUGGCAUGAGUAGCGAGAUGUGGGUGAGAAUCCCACAGGCCGUAAACCCAAGGUUUCCAGGGGAAGGUUCGUCCGCCCUGGGUUAGUCGGGACCUAAGCUGAGGCCGAAAGGCGUAGGUGAUGGACAACAGGUUGAUAUUCCUGUAC